RNAcentral lists this ribosomal RNA (223 nucleotides) under Helicobacter pylori. Its description in RNAcentral is "partial 16S ribosomal RNA". It matches the Rfam family "Bacterial small subunit ribosomal RNA", at positions 1284 to 1531 of the family's 1533-position model. Lineage: Bacteria; Pseudomonadati; Campylobacterota; Epsilonproteobacteria; Campylobacterales; Helicobacteraceae. The record is from RNAcentral.
UAACUCAGUUCGGAUUGUAGGCUGCCACUCGCUGCAGAAGUGAAUCGCUAGUAUCGCAAUCACCAUGUGCGGGAAACGUCCCGGUUCUGUACUCCCGCCCGCACACCAUGGAGUGUGUUGCCUUAAGUCAGAUGCUAAAUUGGCUACUGCCCACGGCCCACACAGCGACUGGGGGAAGUCGUAACAAGGUAACCGUAGGUGAACCUGCGGUGGAUCACCUCCU